CAGGGGGUGCAAGCGUUGCUCGGAAUCACUGGGCGUAAAGCGUGCGCAGGCGGACCGUUAAGUCAGGCGUGAAGGCCCUGGGCUCAACCCAGGAAUUGCGCUUGAUACUGGCGGUCUUGAAUACGGGAGAGGUAAGCGGAAUUCCUGGUGUAGAGGUGAAAUUCGUAGAUAUCAGGAGGAACACCGGUGGCGAAAGCGGCUUACUGGCCCGAUAUUGACGCUCAUGCACGAAAGCGUGGGGAGCAAACAGGAUUAGAUACCCUGGUAGUCCACGCCGUAAACGAUGAGUGCUAGCUGCUGGAGAUCCUUUCUUUCUUCGGUGGCGUAGCCAACGCGUUAAGCAACUCCGCCUGGGAAUACGGUCGCAAGAUUA
RNAcentral lists this ribosomal RNA (373 nucleotides) under uncultured organism. RNAcentral describes it as "bacterial SSU rRNA". It matches the Rfam family "Bacterial small subunit ribosomal RNA", at positions 526 to 896 of the family's 1533-position model. The record is from RNAcentral.